AUGGCAAAUAGUAUUUUAUUAAUAACAUUGAUUUCCCUUAACCCUGUCACAGUUCAAUAUGAUUCUUUCCCCUGUCUUCUCCUAGCAGCAAGCUGGGGUUGUUGGCAUUGCCUUUCCCACCUGACGGAGGAACCGUUGCUAGAAGUCAUUAUGUCCAUGUCAGGCAGAUGUCAUGUACAUGGGACUUCGCGUUUUACAACGGAUUUUCCCCCCAGCUCUAGACGUGGUUGCCAACAGGUGCUGAAAACAAGCUGACUCCAAUGUCACUGCUUUCUGCAGCCACGGGAAGUAUGACAAGGGAUUGGUUCCUGUGUGGGUCUGCUUGACACCUGUUUGGUCAUCCUCCGCCUCCACAUCUGCACAAAGCUUCCAGGUUUCCAGGGAGGCAGUUCCUCUUCACGUGCUCUCCAUUGCCUCUCUCUCCCUGUGCUCAAGGUCUCCAUCAGGGACCCCAGAAGAACUCUUAGAAUUGCCCUCCAGCACCAUCUCCCUCGAGGGGCACUCUGCUGGAGCAGGCAUGAACUGCUAAAAUCUUCCAGCAAUGUUUAGGCCCUCGCGUCUUCAGGAUGGCCCAGUGGCUUCCUCAUGGAUCUUUCCUGCCAGGACCCGACGGUCUGCUGUGUUAUUUCUCAAUUGCAUGUGCAAAGAUAUUUCCCCUUCCUUCUGACAUUUCAUAAAUGCCAUUUGAUAUGUUAACUGACAUUGUCAUUUUCGCUAAAGCAAUUUGCAAAAGGUGUGCUUCUUUUCAGUUCCUGCUUCCUCCAGGGAUUAUUACUUACCCAUUGGAAGGUUUUCUCUUCUCACAUGAAGGCUGCUGUCUGUAACACAACAUAAAUAAGAAGAGAGAUGCUUUGAGGUUUUUAAAAGGAUUUCUGUAGAAUAGAAUACAGACAUGUACUGAUGAGUUUCGAAUGUUUCAAAUACAUAGUUUUCAAAAUUCAUUUACGACGGGGGGGGGGGGGAACAUGAUUCGUGUGAUUCCCUUCCUAAUUGGCGACCUAGUUCAUUUUGGGAUGACAGUUUUGGGUAGAAUCAUAAAGAUGGAGGAGCUUAAUCAGUGCUUGCAUAUUUCUUCCUGCAAACUGAAUUGAUACCAACCAAUUAUCCUACAGAAAAGAACAAGUCAUCCAUUGAACUUCAUUUUUGAUUUUUAUCUUAGUGUUUCAAAGAGAAAUAAUAACAGUUUUGCAAGACUCCUUUCUUGCCCAAAACAUGGAUUCAUCCAAUCUGAUGGUGCGUUCCAGCAGUCGAGUGU
RNAcentral lists this long non-coding RNA (1255 nucleotides) under Ursus maritimus (polar bear). RNAcentral's name for it is "lncRNA (ENSUMAG00000012111.1)". Lineage: Eukaryota; Metazoa; Chordata; Mammalia; Carnivora; Ursidae. The record is from RNAcentral.